Molecule: transfer RNA, 73 nt
Filed under: Brettanomyces bruxellensis
Lineage: Eukaryota; Fungi; Ascomycota; Pichiomycetes; Pichiales; Pichiaceae
Description: tRNA-Asp
Rfam family: tRNA
About the family: Transfer RNA (tRNA) molecules are approximately 80 nucleotides in length. Their secondary structure includes four short double-helical elements and three loops (D, anti-codon, and T loops). Further hydrogen bonds mediate the characteristic L-shaped molecular structure. tRNAs have two regions of fundamental functional importance: the anti-codon, which is responsible for specific mRNA codon recognition, and the 3' end, to which the tRNAs corresponding amino acid is attached (by aminoacyl-tRNA synthetases). tRNAs cope with the degeneracy of the genetic code in two manners: having more than one tRNA (with a specific anti-codon) for a particular amino acid; and 'wobble' base-pairing, i.e. permitting non-standard base-pairing at the 3rd anti-codon position.
Source: RNAcentral
GGUUCUGUAGCUUAAUUGGUUAAGUAUCAUUUUGUCACAAUGAAGGUUAUCUGUUCGAAUCAGGUCAGAAUCG